UUUUAGGUAAACGCUGCAUUUUAAAUGUAAUGUAGAGGAAAGUCCAGGCUCACACUGAUCUGCGAUGACAGUAGUGUUUGUGUAUAGGGAAUAAAUAACCUAUAGUAGCUUUGCUAACGGCGAAAAGAGUCCUAAGGGAAACUAUGGAUAAUUUUCAUAAAGUGCCACAGAGACGAUUUUUCUUGAAAAAGAAAACUGAAACGUUGGUAAACCCCACAAGUGAGAAACCCAAAAUAUGGUAGGGGAACUCUCAAAUAGGAAUUGAACUAAAUGAGAGAUGAGUAAUCAUAGAUAAAUGUUUACCGCCGGUAACGGUACAGAACUUGGCUUAUU
RNAcentral lists this RNase P RNA (333 nucleotides) under bovine gut metagenome. Its description in RNAcentral is "Bacterial RNase P class B". It matches the Rfam family "Bacterial RNase P class B". From Rfam's summary of the family: Ribonuclease P (RNase P) is a ubiquitous endoribonuclease, found in archaea, bacteria and eukarya as well as chloroplasts and mitochondria. Its best characterised activity is the generation of mature 5'-ends of tRNAs by cleaving the 5'-leader elements of precursor-tRNAs. Cellular RNase Ps are ribonucleoproteins. The record is from RNAcentral.